ACCUGGGCCUGCACGCUCAUGUCGAGGGCGGAGGUCGGCUCGUCGAGCAUGACGAACUGGGGCUUCAGCACCAUCGCCCGGGCGAUCGCGAUGCGCUGGCGCUGACCGCCGGAAAAUUCGUGCGGAUAGCGCCAGCGCGUGGC
RNAcentral lists this small RNA (143 nucleotides) under Sinorhizobium meliloti 2011. RNAcentral's name for it is "putative ncRNA". The record is from RNAcentral. Lineage: Bacteria; Pseudomonadati; Pseudomonadota; Alphaproteobacteria; Hyphomicrobiales; Rhizobiaceae.